UACGUAGGGUGCAAGCAUUAAUCGGAAUUAUUGGGCGUAUAGGGCGCGUAGGCGGACUUUUUAGUCGGAUGUGAAAUCCCAGGGCUCAACCCUGGAACUGCAUCCGAAACUGGAAGACUAGAGGGUAGGCGGAGAAAACGGAAUUCCACAAGUAGCGGUGAUAUGCGUAGAUAUGUGGAAGAACACCGGUGGCGAAAGCGGUUUUCUAGCUUAAACCUGACGCUGAGGCGCGAAAGCAAGGGGAUCAAACAGG
This 253-nucleotide ribosomal RNA is filed under the name uncultured bacterium. Its description in RNAcentral is "partial 16S ribosomal RNA". It matches the Rfam family "Bacterial small subunit ribosomal RNA", at positions 524 to 776 of the family's 1533-position model. The record is from RNAcentral.